GACGAACGCUGGCGGCGUGCUUAACACAUGCAAGUCGAACGGAAAGGCCCUGCUUUUGUGGGGUGCUCGAGUGGCGAACGGGUGAGUAACACGUGAGUAACCUGCCCUUGACUUUGGGAUAACUUCAGGAAACUGGGGCUAAUACCGGAUAGGAGCUCCUGCCGCAUGGUGGGGGUUGGAAAGUUUCGGCGGUUGGGGAUGGACUCGCGGCUUAUCAGCUUGUUGGUGGGGUAGUGGCUUACCAAGGCUUUGACGGGUAGCCGGCCUGAGAGGGUGACCGGCGACAUGGGGACUGAGAUACGGCCCAGACUCCUACGGGAGGCAGCAGUGGGGAAUAUUGCACAAUGGGCGGAAGCCUGAUGCAGCAACGCCGCGUGCGGGAUGACGGCCUUCGGGUUGUAAACCGCUUUCGCCUGUGACGAAGCGUGAGUGACGGUAAUGGGUAAAGAAGCACCGGCUAACUACGUG
Molecule: ribosomal RNA, 468 nt
Filed under: uncultured bacterium
Lineage: Bacteria
Description: partial 16S ribosomal RNA
Rfam family: Bacterial small subunit ribosomal RNA
Source: RNAcentral